Molecule: non-coding RNA, 41 nt
Filed under: Schistosoma mansoni
Lineage: Eukaryota; Metazoa; Platyhelminthes; Trematoda; Strigeidida; Schistosomatidae
Source: RNAcentral
AUCUGACGAGUCUCAAAUAGGACGAAACGCGUGUCCUAGAU